UUUACUCGGCUUUAGAUACUUUAGAUGGUAUCUGUUUACUCACUGGGAUUAUAAAAUCUCACCCCUUCUUCCUAUACAUUUUUCAGGCUCAGGAUAGUUUGUAGAUAGUCGAGUAGGACGAGAACUAAGCUCGGAACUGCAUUAUAGAAAGUAAGAGUUCACAAUCUUACAUCCUCUUGGUCAAUUGGAGCUCACGUGUUAUUGCAGAUCAAAACUUAUAUUUUGGUUAUCUGUAUUUCUAUUCAUACAAUUUUUACUUUACUUUCAUGUACGAAAAAAAUUAUUUACGAAUAUUUCUAUAAAAUUUUAUUUUAUGACAAAAUAGAAUAUUUCAUUUAUUAUUUUUGAAUAUUACUAGUUGUCAACAAUUUGCUUUCAA
This 379-nucleotide long non-coding RNA is filed under the name Theobroma cacao (cacao). Its description in RNAcentral is "long non-coding RNA (TCAC_LNC002875)". The record is from RNAcentral. Lineage: Eukaryota; Viridiplantae; Streptophyta; Magnoliopsida; Malvales; Malvaceae.